GCCCCCGUAGCUCAGUGGAUAGAGCAUGAGUUUCCUAAACUCUGUGCGCAGGUUCGAUUCCUGCCGGGGGUA
RNAcentral lists this transfer RNA (72 nucleotides) under Anaerolineaceae bacterium 4572_5.2. RNAcentral describes it as "tRNA-Arg". It matches the Rfam family "tRNA". From Rfam's summary of the family: Transfer RNA (tRNA) molecules are approximately 80 nucleotides in length. RNAcentral also lists the same sequence under 2 other names. Lineage: Bacteria; Bacillati; Chloroflexota; Anaerolineae; Anaerolineales; Anaerolineaceae. The record is from RNAcentral.